AUGAGAAUCAAAGGGGGAUUAGUGGAGGUUAGAAAGGAUCAAUCAUGGGCCAUGGGUGUGUAAAACGGAUUGGAGGGAGGGUUGAAGGAUAAAAAUGUUUGGGCCAUCGAUGUUGAUUUAGGCAAAAAAAGCCAAAUUUCUGGCCGUCAACCCAGGUUUGAUAUUUGAACUCCACGUUCCAACAAGCCAUGGGAAAACGCUUCAAAACACAAAAAUGGACGCCUCACUAUCGGUGCCGAAUCUCCCUCGACGGCCACGUGAAUCAGCGUGACCUCGACGCAAAGCUCAUCCUCAAUUCUUCAAUCUGCAUCGUCCUUGUUGCUUUACCUCCAUUUCACGGUGUUAUAGUUGUCCAAUUGCGCUUCGCUGAUGUUGAAUCGAGAUGAAGAUCGAACGGUUGAUCCGUACGAAGAGUGUUACGUUCGUAUCGUGAUGGAGAAUGAAAAUGGAAGUGUGAAUCGAAUUGUGGCAUGGUCGAUGGCAACGAGUCUGUGAUGGUUCGAUGCAUGAGUUCGUGGUUCUUCGCCCUUGCACAUUGUUGAAAGUGAUAAGGGAGAGCUCGUCUUCUCGUCCGUAUUUAAAUACGAAGACUGUAGAUUCGCGCCUUGAAUGAUUGAAUCUCCCUUUUUUAAUCUUUCGGUGAACCAAACGUGACGAAGGCGAAGGUCCUCAAUUCCCCUUUCUGAUUUUCAGCUACCGGUUACUUGAGGAUGGUUGUCGCGAAUUCCCGGGAAUUGGAGGAAGGAGGAGUAUGGCGGGAGGUUCUGUUCUUGUUAGCAGGUUAAAGGUUAUACAGGGUGGUAGAUGAUGGUUAGAAGUAGAGGAUUGAAGAAGUUGGUUGAAGAUGGGGUGAAAGGUUGUUAGGGUUAGGAGGAAUGAAGAAUGGUUAUCGAAGGGUUGUCUAGAAAAUGGAGCGUGAAGGUCCCUCCUCAGGUUUGAGAGGAGUGAAGGUUCUUAUAGAGGUUAAAGGUUUGUUAGAAAAUGAUGAUGGAGGUCCCCCUCAGGAAAAUUCAGUUAGCCGGUUUUAAAAGGAUCGUUGAAGGAUGAAAUUGGGAUGGCGAAAAUCUAUUAUGAGUUAUCGACAAAUGGCAUUUUCAGUUAUCAAUAUGUUAAGUUUGUUGUGGAGGGAGAUUGAAGUUGGUUCUGCAGAGUUAUUAUUGACAAUUAGAGGAGAGCUUGAGGAUGUUAUAUCAAAGAGGUUUUUGAAAAUUGGUUUCUUGAAAGUUCUCAUUCCGUUAUGGAGGUUCGUUAGCAGUGAAGAUUAGAGAGGUUAUUGACGGUUCAAAAAAAAUCCAGUUGGAGGACUUUGGCGACACAUUUAGAACUUCUAUUCCUAAUGUUGAGUUUUGAAGCUGUUAGGUUAUGUUGAGGCAGUUUCGAUUAGCUAAGAAGUCUUGGUUGGUGGUUCACUGCGGUUAGAGAAGCUCUAUUGGAAGCCCCCCUGAGUUAGAAGAAGUGGCAAUUUAAGGAGUUAGUUGGAGGUUCGGUUAUAGGUUGGUUAGGAAGUUUGUUGGAAUUCAGUUACGGUUGUUGGACAUGUUAGUUAGCGUGAGGGUGACGAGUUGUGUUGUGAUGUUGUUUUUUGAAGGCUAUGGAUGAAGGUUGGGAGUAAAUCUAUAGGAUCUCUAAAACUAACUUUCUUUUUGAAGUUUGUCUCAGGAUGUGGCUGUCUUACAAUGUCAUUUUGUUCACUCUGGUCCAAUAUAAAAAAUUUCAAAGAACCAUAAGGUCCAGAUUUUUCGUCAAAUGAAACUUUGCGGUUGAAUAAUCUAUGACCAAGUCCAAACACCUGUGAUGAGUUUUCACCAUUUCUUGGGUCUGUUUUAGCACAAUCCUUUGUGUCAGCUGUUGCUGAGAGAACAGUUCCAGAUGCAGAUACAUUACGCUCUGCCAAAAUGUUCCUCUUAGUGUGACCAUUAUUCUACUGAGAACCCCGUGAGGUAUUUUCAGAUGUACAAGCCUGAUCAUCAUAUAUAGAAUUUGAUUCCUUUGGAUUCUGUUGAGUAACCUUUCUGAUGAUUCCUGACCCUCUUUGUAAGUCGAACCAUUCCUUUUUUUGCAUUGAAUUGCAAAGCGAACCAUCAUUCAUCUCAUUAUUCGAAAUUAAAGACCAUUGGUUUAAGGAACUUGACAUGGUAAAGUCAGGAGGUUUUGUUUGCUGGCGGAAACAUCUGAUGGACUCACACAUCCCAAAUUCAACUCAUGUGGCUUUGAUAUGAAAUGAGGAAUUUCUGGUAGCAUGUGUCAGGAAAAUUCCUGAAUGUUUCCUUGCUAUAAGGAUCAUCUGAUGGACUCACAGAGUCCCAAUCAGAUCCAUGUGGUUCUGAUGUGUUGAUGUAGGUGUAUGGUAAAUUGAUAGGUCCAAAUGGAAUUCUUCACAGCGACAUUGGAUCCUGGAAGAACUGCCUUACAACCAUCUGCUUCUUGUUUUCUCGUUAUUUUGUCUUAAUGUAAAUUGUAGAUGUUUUUGAUUGGCUGCAUUUUGUGUUAAAACACUUACUGUACUUAGAUGUCUUGACUGAUGUCAUGCCAUGCUUAAAUAGUAUGCUGCAGGAUUAGCUAAUACAGGAUUUACUGGAUGUCAACCUGAAUGUUAUGACAUUCAUUCCUGACAGCAGAUGCUAAAGUAUAGGCCAAUUAGUUUUUCUGUUAUAUUUCAAUAUUUAUCUCAGGCUGAUUUUCAGGAAACUAACAGUUGUGCUAAAAUUAAGAGACCUAGCAUAUAGCCUAUUUUCUGGAUGUCAAACUGAAUCUUAUGACAUUCAUCCCUGAUAGCAAAUGCUAAAGUAUAGGCUAAUUAGUUUUUCUGUUAUGUUUCA
Molecule: long non-coding RNA, 2819 nt
Organism: Lathyrus oleraceus (garden pea)
Lineage: Eukaryota; Viridiplantae; Streptophyta; Magnoliopsida; Fabales; Fabaceae
Exons: 2
Source: RefSeq, a predicted model, not a curated record